UAAGCGGAGGAAAAGAAACUAACAAGGAUUCCCCUAGUAACUGCGAGUGAAGCGGGAAAAGCUCAAAUUUGGAAUCUGGUGGUCUUUGGCCAUCCGAGUUGUAAUUUAGAGAAGCGUCUUCCGCGCUGGACCGUGCACAAGUCUCCUGGAAUGGAGCGUCAUAGAGGGGUGAGAAUCCCGUCUUUGGCACGGAAUNNAGGGCUUCUGUGAUGCGCUCUCGACGAGUCGAGUUGUUUGGGAAUGCAGCUCAAAAUGGGUGGUGAACUCCAUCUAAAGCUAAAUAUUGGCGAGAGACCGAUAGCGAACAAGUACCGUGAGGGAAAGAUGAAAAGCACUUUGGAAAGAGAGUGAAACAGUACGUGAAAUUGUUGAAAGGGAAACGCUUGAAGUCAGUCGCGUCGACCGAGACUCAGCCUUGCCUCGGCUUGGUGUACUUCUCGGCUUGACGGGUCAGCAUCGAUUUCGAUCCUCGGAUAAUGGCAAGGGAAAGGUAGCACCUUUUUAGGUGUGUUAUAGUCCUCUGUCGCAUGCGAGGGUCGGGAUCGAGGAACUCAGCACGCACCUCAGGGUGUCGGGGCCUUGGCCCACGUUUACGUGCUUAGGAUGCUGGCGUAAUGGCUUUAAACGACC
Molecule: ribosomal RNA, 630 nt
Filed under: uncultured Russulaceae
Lineage: Eukaryota; Fungi; Basidiomycota; Agaricomycetes; Russulales; Russulaceae
Description: LSU rRNA
Rfam family: Eukaryotic large subunit ribosomal RNA
Source: RNAcentral